Molecule: transfer RNA, 89 nt
Filed under: Spirulinaceae cyanobacterium RM2_2_10
Lineage: Bacteria; Bacillati; Cyanobacteriota; Cyanophyceae; Spirulinales; Spirulinaceae
Also listed under: 1 other name
Description: tRNA-Ser
Rfam family: tRNA
About the family: Transfer RNA (tRNA) molecules are approximately 80 nucleotides in length. Their secondary structure includes four short double-helical elements and three loops (D, anti-codon, and T loops). Further hydrogen bonds mediate the characteristic L-shaped molecular structure. tRNAs have two regions of fundamental functional importance: the anti-codon, which is responsible for specific mRNA codon recognition, and the 3' end, to which the tRNAs corresponding amino acid is attached (by aminoacyl-tRNA synthetases). tRNAs cope with the degeneracy of the genetic code in two manners: having more than one tRNA (with a specific anti-codon) for a particular amino acid; and 'wobble' base-pairing, i.e. permitting non-standard base-pairing at the 3rd anti-codon position.
Source: RNAcentral
GGAGAGGUGGCUGAGCGGUUGAAAGCGGCUCCCUGCUAAGGAGUUAUAGGGUUUAGAUCCUAUCGAGGGUUCGAAUCCCUCCCUCUCCG